This 266-nucleotide long non-coding RNA is filed under the name Medicago truncatula (barrel medic). Its description in RNAcentral is "long non-coding RNA (MTRU_LNC001292)". Lineage: Eukaryota; Viridiplantae; Streptophyta; Magnoliopsida; Fabales; Fabaceae. The record is from RNAcentral.
CUUUCCAUUGUUUUUAGAUUCCAAUAAUUUUCUUCUUCUUAACUUUGAAUAACAGAAUUAUCAAAUUAAAUGAUUGUACAAAAUUCUGGAUGGAGAGGUGAGGUGAGAUGGUUGGGGGUGUGGCAGACACUGUAAUUCAUAAUUUUUGCAGCUUAAAAACAAAGAUCUGAAAUUUAUCGAAAUAAAACAGAACUUACUAAUGAAUUAAUUAAUUCAUAUUCAAAUCCUUGUUUCUUAAGAACUAUGAGGGAGGAAGAAGACCGGUU